GUGCAGAGAAGCGAGCGAGCAGCUGUGUAGCGAUGCCUGUGACCUAACCCGUCUCCCCCGCGAACCCCGCCUCCUCUCCUGCCGCCGCCGCCGCGCCCCCUGCUCCCCUUCUACAUGCUCGCCGCUGCCCCGCCUCGAGCCAGCCGCCGUUCGGUAAAAACCUAACCUCCACACCCACGCCCCCACCAGACCCUCCCUCCUCUUCCUCGACCUCCCUCCUAGCUGCCGCCGCCUCCCCUCCGCGGUCAACCUCCUUGUUGCCGGUGAUGCUCCAGCGCCUUGGCCCGGUCGCCUCUGUCUCCUGCCGUGCUCUCUCGUGCUGCUGUGCCUCCUAGACGACGCUCGCAUGCCUCGGAUGCGCCCCCUUCUAUCCCGAGCUCCAGAUCGAUGGCUGCAGCGGCGAGGUAAGCAGUGCAAAGGCUACCUCCUACUAAAUACCUUUUUUUGUUCAAAUACCAAAACACUUUGUCAGGGUUGUCAAUGGCAAAGAAGCAACCUUGUUAUUUAGUUCAGUCCACCGUAAAGACAGCUCGGGAGACAACCUUCUUCUGAAAUCAUUGAUUUGUUUUUUUAGCCCAACCUCUGAUUGAUCUGGUAUAAUUUAUCAAAUUCCUCCAGAGUACAUUCAGGUUCAAAGCAAAUGUUGUAUAGCUCAGGAUAUUGUUCAGUGAAGGAUUUACCAUCCACAGGCACAUCUUUCCAUACCCCAGCUUUAUCACUUUUUCUGCAAAGAGAUCUCGCGCCCAAUCAAAUAAAGUUCUCUAACCUUCAUAAUUGAUUUCUAGCAAGGGGAAUCAGUGACUCUUGUUUUAGUAGUAUUAAUAGUUUUGUUCUUGAAAUAUUUGGCUCUAACAACUUGUUGCCAUAGCCCCUCUUGAGUCUCAAGUUUCUUGUAGAAGGUCACCACAGGCGCUGGGGUCGACGCAGAGCAUCGACGACGGUGUCAUUGUCCUCGCGUGAUUCAUCAGAUGCAACCUCACCCCCGCGCCGGCUUUUGACGGAGCUGCUCACCAAGGAGGACCUCGUCGCCUACAUCGCAUCUGGGUGUAAGCCCAAGGAGAACUGGAGAUGAAAUUGCAACACCUGGUACCGAGACCAUGCUGGGAUUUUCUGAUCAUGUCAGGAGCUUUGUAAAUCCUGUAUGGACGUCUUCUUUGAGUGGAAAUUAUUCGAAUACAACAUCACGGACAGGAAAACAGUUGGACAUCAGCCAUGAAAAGGUUCGAGGUCUUUCACGGAGUUUCCUACCAGCUAUUCAUCUAGAGCACUAUCCUUGUGAAAAUUUCUCAUUUUCUCCUCCACCUAUUGAUAGGAGACGCACUCGACAAGGGUGUAAGUAGUCUCACCAGUCCAAUUCAGAGUUACAAAAAAGUUCUAAAUCUGAUAAUAUUAUUUUAAACGUGUGUAGCAUGUCCUGAUUGUUAUGUGCCUGUUGACUAGACCCUGGCAUUGAUGCCAGCUGCUAAUCUGUCCGAAGACAAUUACAAUUUGGUACUCAUAGGUCCAAUAGUGGUUCUUUGUUUUGUGGUUAUCCAUCCCUGGAACAACGAGAUAUGUCUUAUAUGACAUAAAAGACUCGAUGACAGUACAUUGUGGAUCUGUGAGGGGGGAAGAUACAUGGUCUCGAUACUGCAUUCGAUGUAGACGAAGCUGGUCUGUCUGAGAUUUGCUUCUGCUAUUUUCGGUUCCAAAACUAUUACUUCAUCGGCUCUUUCCUAAUGUGCGGUAUUCACUCUAGAUCGAUGGGAAACUUAAACUUGUGAAGGAUCCUUAUCAGCUGUUAAAGAGAUUCUUGUGGAGGAAAAAUGUGCGCUUCACUAUUUCCAGGUAUUAUAGACGCUUUGAUGUCUUUGAGGAAGCUGAGGCCAACAAGGCUGGAAGUAUGAUAAUGCUUCAAUCGAUAACCAAAUGAAGUUCUACAAGACAGAGGGUUUAACCCAUUAUUCAUCAGCUAAGCUCCUUAUUACAAGCGGCAAAUGGUUCUUCCUACUGAAUUCUGAUAUAGAAAUAUUUCUCCUGAGAACAUAAGGGAUACAUUUAUCUUGAACAGAUGUCCUUGAGGGUUGUGUAAUUAUAGGAGAGCCCAUACCCAUCACCAAUCUCUUCACACGCCUUUGGUUCAAUGAAGUUGAUCGUCCCACCUCAAGAGAUCAGCUAAGCUUUAGCACAACGAGGGAUAAAAUAAGAUCAAGAGUUCUUUUUGACAACUAAAUAAGAUCAGGAGUUAAUUGGACUGCAGACAUGUUCCUGGAUUGUGGAAGGCGUGAAUUUGUUCAGGUACUUUUGAGUUAAUGCUUUGUGCGGCACAUCAUUCCAUUUGCAACCUGAAGUACUACUGCAACUUGGUACCGAGUGUAGACUUUAUCAAAUUACACAAAAAAAAUCCAGCAUAACAAUGGAUCUUCGCAUCUAAAUAGGGAGCUGUUUGAAAACAACAUCAGUGGAUCGAUGAUUUUUUUGGAAAGAACACAAUGUCAGGAUCUUUGACAGAAUAGAAUUUUACUGGAGUUUGAGGCUAUAUUAUUGAUGAGGUAUCCUGGAGAGCUGCAAGUUGCUUCUCUUGUUUUGAAUCAUGUUCUUGUUGUUUUCUCCCUGCUGAGAGUGUAUUAGUGUACUCAUCAUGAUCUCUGAGGCUAUGCUUACAGUUGCAUCAUUGUUUUCUUGAAAAUUGACCCUCUAAAUUCAUGUUCUCUUAUAACUGAUCCUGUAAAAUCUUCCCUGUAUUUUAAUGAAGUUUCACGUCAUGCCUUUUA
Long non-coding RNA from Triticum aestivum (bread wheat), 2753 nucleotides. RefSeq lists it as uncharacterized. The record is from RefSeq and is a predicted model, not a curated record. The transcript is spliced from 5 exons. NCBI's taxonomy places the organism in Eukaryota, Viridiplantae, Streptophyta, Magnoliopsida, Poales, Poaceae.